This 243-nucleotide unclassified non-coding RNA is filed under the name uncultured fungus. RNAcentral's name for it is "sequence contains ITS1". The record is from RNAcentral. Lineage: Eukaryota; Fungi.
GUAUUGAUUGCGGGUUAGCGCAUAAAUGAGGUCAUUCUACACUUUUUAAAAGGGGUGUUUGUGUGAAAACGCGAGCCUCCUCCGAGAUGAUCCCAAAGGGUGCCCACGCGGUGAUGCACAAAGGGUGAGAUGGAUUAUUAUGUGAGGAAACACACCCGGGCGUGCACGACAAAAAAAAGCCAGCGACAACCCUCGUACCCCCAUUGUACGAUAAUGAUCCUUCCGCAGGUUCACCUACGGAAA